GUCGAACGGUAACAGGUCUUCGGAUGCUGACGAGUGGCGAACGGGUGAGUAAUACAUCGGAACGUGCCCGAUCGUGGGGGAUAACGAGGCGAAAGCUUUGCUAAUACCGCAUACGAUCUACGGAUGAAAGCGGGGGAUCUUCGGACCUCGCGCGGACGGAGCGGCCGAUGGCAGAUUAGGUAGUUGGUGGGAUAAAAGCUUACCAAGCCGACGAUCUGUAGCUGGUCUGAGAGGAUGAUCAGCCACACUGGGACUGAGACACGGCCCAGACUCCUACGGGAGGCAGCAGUGGGGAAUUUUGGACAAUGGGCGAAAGCCUGAUCCAGCCAUGCCGCGUGCAGGAUGAAGGCCUUCGGGUUGUAAACUGCUUUUGUACGGAACGAAAAGCCUCUUUCUAAUAAAGAGGGGUCAUGACGGUACCGUANGAAUAAGCACCGGCUAACUACGUGCCAGCAGCCGCGGUAAUACGUAGGGUGCAAGCGUUAA
Molecule: ribosomal RNA, 486 nt
Filed under: uncultured bacterium
Lineage: Bacteria
Description: bacterial SSU rRNA
Rfam family: Bacterial small subunit ribosomal RNA
Source: RNAcentral